GAUGAAGAACGUAGCGAAAUGCGAUACUUGGGGUGAAUUGCAGAAUCCCGUGAACCAUCGAGUCUUUGAACGCAAGUUGCGCCCGAAGCCACUAGGCCGAGGGCACGCCUGCCUGGGCGUCACACGCCGUUGCCCCCCCAUCUACUCCUUCGGGAUUGCGGGGGGGCGGAUGAUGGCCUCCCGUGCGCCUAGCCGCGCGGUUGGCAUAAAUACCAAGUCCUCGGCGACGCACGCCACGACAAUCGGUGGUUGCGAAACCUCGGUUGCCCGUCGUGUGCGUUCGUCGCGCAUCGAGGGCUCGAAAAAAUGCUCGGCUCCGGCUGGGCUUUCAACGCGACCCCAGGUCAGGCGGGGUUACCCGCUGAAUUUAAGCAUAUCAAUAAGCGGAGGA
This 391-nucleotide unclassified non-coding RNA is filed under the name soil metagenome. RNAcentral's name for it is "partial contains 5.8S ribosomal RNA, internal transcribed spacer 2, and large subunit ribosomal RNA". The stretch from base 1 to 122 matches the Rfam family "5.8S ribosomal RNA", at positions 35 to 154 of the family's 154-position model. The record is from RNAcentral.